Molecule: ribosomal RNA, 499 nt
Filed under: uncultured bacterium
Lineage: Bacteria
Description: partial 16S ribosomal RNA
Rfam family: Bacterial small subunit ribosomal RNA
Source: RNAcentral
GAUGAACGCUGGCGGCGUGCCUAAUACAUGCAAGUCGAGCGAACAGACGAGAGUGCUUGCACUCUCUGACGUUAGCGGCGGACGGGUGAGUAACACGUGGGUAACCUACCUAUAAGACUGGGAUAACUUCGGGAAACCGGAGCUAAUACCGGAUAAUAUUUAGCUUCGCAUGAAGCAAUAGUGAAAGACGGUUCUGCUGUCACUUAUAGAUGGACCCGCGGUGUAUUAGCUGGUUGGUGAGGUAACGGCUCACCAAGGCAACGAUACAUAGCCGACCUGAGAGGGUGAUCGGCCACACUGGGACUGAGACACGGCCCAGACUCCUACGGGAGGCAGCAGUAGGGAAUCGUCCGCAAUGGACGAAAGUCUGACGGAGCAAUGCCGCGUGAGUGAAGAAGGUGUUCGGAUCGUAAAACUCUGUUGUAAGGGAAGAACAAGUACGUUAGUAACUGAACGUACCUUGACGGUACCUUACCAGAAAGCCACGGCUAACUACGUG